GAGCAUGUGGUUUAAUUUGAAGCAACGCGCAGAACCUUACCAACCCUUGACAUCCUGUGCUAACUCCAGAGAUGGAGUGUUUCCUUCGGGGANGCAGUGACAGGUGCUGCAUGGCUGUCGUCAGCUCGUGUCGUGAGAUGUUCGGUUAAGUCCGGCAACGAGCGCAACCCACAUCNUUAGUUGCCAUCAUUCAGUUGGGCACUCUAGGGAAACUGCCCGUGAUAAGCGGGAGGAAGGUGUGGAUGACGUCAAGUCCUCAUGGCCCUUACGGGUUGGGCUACACACGUGCUACAAUGGUAGCGACAAUGGGUUAAUCCCAAAAAGCUAUCUCAGUUCGGAUUGGGGUCUGCAACUCGACCCCAUGAAGUCGGAAUCGCUAGUAAUCGCGUAACAGCAUGACGCGGUGAGUACGUUCCCGGGCCUUGUACACACCGCCCGUCACACCAUGGGAGUUGGGUUUACCCGAAGGCGGUACGCCAACCUUUUGGAGGCAGCCGACCACGGUAAGCUCAGCGACUGGGGUGAAGUCGUAACAAGCUAGCCGUAAGCUUCACA
This 555-nucleotide ribosomal RNA is filed under the name uncultured bacterium. RNAcentral describes it as "bacterial SSU rRNA". It matches the Rfam family "Bacterial small subunit ribosomal RNA", at positions 935 to 1512 of the family's 1533-position model. The record is from RNAcentral.